RNAcentral lists this ribosomal RNA (395 nucleotides) under uncultured bacterium. Its description in RNAcentral is "bacterial SSU rRNA". It matches the Rfam family "Bacterial small subunit ribosomal RNA", at positions 141 to 518 of the family's 1533-position model. The record is from RNAcentral.
CGAUAGCCCGGCGAAAGUCGGAUUAAUACCCUAUGUUGUAUAUUAGAGGACGAUCUGAAGUUUUAGUAACCUAAAAGGUACGUUUAUCGCGUAAGGGAGUGGGGAUGCGUCUGAUUAGGUGGUAGGCGGGGUAACGGCCCACCUAGCCGACGAUCAGUAGGGGUUCUGAGAGGAAGGUCCCCCACAUUGGUACUGAGACACGGACCAAACUCCUACGGGAGGCAGCAGUGAGGAAUAUUGGUCAAUGGGCGAGAGCCUGAACCAGCCAAGUAGCGUGCAAGGAUGACGGCCCUAUGGGUUGUAAACUGCUUUUAUAUAGGGAUAAAGUGCACUACGUGUAGUGUUUUGUAGGUACUAUAUGAAUAAGGACCGGCUAAUUCCGUGCCAGCCGCUGC